UUCCGGAGGUGGGACCGUCUGUCCCUUG
RNAcentral lists this small RNA (28 nucleotides) under Bombyx mori (domestic silkworm). RNAcentral's name for it is "ovarian small RNA-4003". Lineage: Eukaryota; Metazoa; Arthropoda; Insecta; Lepidoptera; Bombycidae. The record is from RNAcentral.